This is a non-coding RNA of Salvia hispanica, 221 nucleotides long. The record is from RefSeq and is a predicted model, not a curated record. Lineage: Eukaryota; Viridiplantae; Streptophyta; Magnoliopsida; Lamiales; Lamiaceae.
CAAGCGAUCCAAGGCUGCGGAGGCGCCCGUGGAUGAUUCGUUGGCGGCAAAGGAAGUAGCGGGCGCUGCUCCGGCGAAGGAUUCAGCGGCUGGAUCGGCUGAUCUGUCUGGAGGCGGCGGCGGGAAGCAGCCGGAUGACGUGGCGGCGGCUGAAGCGGUGGCUGCAGGUUCCAAUCUAGAUACUGAUAAAGGGAAUUCGAUUUUGAUGCCUGCAAAUCGCG